Molecule: ribosomal RNA, 285 nt
Filed under: uncultured Methylomirabilota bacterium
Lineage: Bacteria; Methylomirabilota (SeqCode)
Description: uncultured candidate division NC10 bacterium partial 16S ribosomal RNA
Rfam family: Bacterial small subunit ribosomal RNA
Source: RNAcentral
CGUGUCGUGAGAUGUUGGGUUAAGUCCCGCAACGAGCGCAACCCUCACCUCUUGUUGCCACCAGGUCAUGCUGGGCACUCUGGAGGAACUGCCCCGGUCAACGGGGAGGAAAGCGGGGAUGACGUCAAGUCAUCAUGCCCCUUACGCCCUGGGCUACACACGUGCUACAAUGGCCGGUACAAAGGGAUGCAAUACCGCGAGGUGAAGCUAGACCCAGAAAGCCAGUCUAAGUUCAGAUUGGAGUCUGCAACUCGACUCCAUGAAGGAGGAAUCGCUAGUAAUCGC